RNAcentral lists this unclassified non-coding RNA (645 nucleotides) under Hevea brasiliensis (rubber tree). Lineage: Eukaryota; Viridiplantae; Streptophyta; Magnoliopsida; Malpighiales; Euphorbiaceae. The record is from RNAcentral.
CUGGCGGCUGCUCUCUGCUAUCUGUAAAGGAAAAUGCAGAUUAGACUCGAAAAAAUAAACUCGCUCCCCCUGCAACAGACUGGUCGACUGGACAGCAGCUGAUCCAGCUGGAAGGAGAAGACGGCUGGCACCGAUCACCUAAACAUACAUACUGACCUUUAUCAAGUUUAUUAACAGAAAUAAUUAAUUAAUUUAAUCAAAGAGGUAAGAAUAAUUUCUAAGAUCUUGCCGAAAUUUCGGCGGAGUUUCUCCUACAAUUGGACCUAACUUCCCUUUGGAAAUUCUACUAUCUGGAAUGCGUCAGAAAUUCCUAAAAAUGCUAGGAACAAUUGUAAGCACGACCCUUUUCCGGGACAGCCCACCGGACACUUGAACCAGGCUGAAAACUCGAUCCCGAGUGCUAGUGAGCUAUCGCCGAUCCGAUCGCACCUUUUUUAAACGGUGUCCUAUCAAAGUGAGGUUGGUUCCAUCUCGUAGGUUUCGUCGCUCUGCGUUCAAAGAUAGUCCCGGAUCAUCAAUCCAACAGUCAGAUCGUCCUAGAUCUGAUCUGAAAGCUUAAAAAUUAUGAAACUUCUCUCCUCCAUAACUUUUUCCUCCGAUCACCAUUUGAAGCGAAAUUGGUCCCAAAAGAAAGCUCAUGGAAUG